Molecule: RNA transcript, 1668 nt
Organism: Hibiscus syriacus
Lineage: Eukaryota; Viridiplantae; Streptophyta; Magnoliopsida; Malvales; Malvaceae
Exons: 2
Source: RefSeq, a predicted model, not a curated record
CCGAACCAAAUCCAAGUCCCUUCUCGUGUUUUCUUGUUCUGUACAAUAGAAUUAGGAAAAAUCGUUUCCGAUUCGGAAAAAAAGGCGGCAUUCCCAAAAUUUCAAGUUUCCCUUGAUAGAUGUAGGAGGAGGUUCAUCCACAACAAGUUCGUUAUUUCUUCUUCCACCUGGUUGUCGAUUUUACCCUUCUGACCAGGAGCUUCUAAAACAUUAUCUGACCGGGAAAAACAGGUGCCUCGCCGCCGACCCUGCUGAUGCAUACGGAUACGAUUUGAUCAGGAAACUCAAUUUGUAUGAUUACGAACCAUCUUAUUUGCCGGAAAUAGUAAAGGAGGGAGGAGAAGGAGAAGGGUAAAGGGAGGGUUUUGGUGGGAAAUAGGAAAAUUUAGGGAUGUGUUUGAUGGAGGAAAUGUAGCAUUGGGGACUAGAACUAAAUUUGUAUUUUAUGAGAUUAAUUCAGUCAAGGCUGCUGUUAGGACUCCUUGGAUUAUGUAUGAAUAUGAACUUCUUCACCAUCCCAAGAUUUAAUUGUCCUCUCCAUCCUCCAAAAAAAUCAUCCCCUUUUUGUUGUUUUAGUUUGUAUUUUAUUGCAUAUCACUUAAGUGCUCUAAAGCGCAUAGCCCGCCCCCAACCCUUUUUUGAUUCUUAAAUUGUCUGUGACUUCUUUCACCAGACACUUGCUGUGGGACAAAAGGAAUUUUUAAACUAACUUCAUGUUUUCCAAAAUUUCAGUAUGUUAAUUGUGCUCCCACUUGGUUGUACGUGGCUCACCAUGGUUCAGUAGGUUAAUUGUUCAUUGUAGUAAUCACUUGGGAGUUAGGUCGUAUGUUCUGUUGGUGAGUCAAAUAUUUGCAACAGGAUUUGGUUUCUAAAGAGCCACAUAAAAAUUAUUUCAUUGUUGUUUUUCUUUGUCAAUUGUAGUAGAACCGACCCGUGUAGAUUGGAAUAUUCCGGGCCCUCAAUAAAGUAACUUUCUACAAAUGUUGUAGUGAAAUCUUAGUAAGUUCUUGCUUGUGUAUAUAGUUUUUCGAAAAUAUGAGCUUUUCCAUAAUUUAAUAAGCUUGUCUGUGAGAUAUACUGUGCGGAACAUGUGAACUUAUGUUUAGAUUGGUUUCAUUGGUGGGGAGGGUCUGGGACUGUUACCUCCUUGAAAGUGAUGUCUCUAUCAUCUGCAGGCUUCUUUUUGUACUAUGCCGAGUAUUCUUCAAAUCUCGUGCUAGAAAUAGUGUAUCAGAGAAUGUUUUAAGUUGUGCAGAAGAUACUGUUUCUGCCAUACCUCACAUCGGUAAUCAGCAUGAUGGAUUUCUUCGGCCUGAUACUCUUGAAGUUGAAAUCAAUGAUGAUAACUUCAAUAAAGAGCUAGACAAUCCAAUAGCAAGUACACCUGUUUCUGUUGCAAGUUUUAAGUUUCCUUCAAGCAUCCCACCAGACCCGCCCAAUGAUUUGGUAAUCUAGAUUGAGCAUGUUUCUUUCUUUUGUCAUGUAAGUUACAUUACGGCCAAUUUCUUUUUCCAUUUAGUACAUACUUUUAUUGGUGAUACCAGACAUGGCUUUUGUGUUUUUCCUUUUCUAACAAAGCUUGCAUGUAUUUCAAAUAACUUCAAUUUUUCUAAUGUAUGUACCAAUAAGCCCUCAGUUCUUUUCAUAACAAUAAAAUUGCAAAACUUU